This is a small nuclear RNA of Loxodonta africana (African savanna elephant), 107 nucleotides long. The record is from RefSeq and is a predicted model, not a curated record. Lineage: Eukaryota; Metazoa; Chordata; Mammalia; Proboscidea; Elephantidae.
GUGCUGCUUCGGCAGCGCGUAUACUAACAUUGGAAUGCUACAGAGAAGAUUAGCAUGGCCCCGUGUGCAAGGAUGACACACAAAUUUGUGAAGUGUCCCAUUAAAAA